GACACCCCUAUGGAGCAGGACUUACUUUAGUGGGGCUUUGGUGCUCACUGAGUCUGCCCCUUGAGUGUGUUGCU
RNAcentral lists this microRNA precursor (74 nucleotides) under Myotis davidii. Its description in RNAcentral is "mir-9229 microRNA precursor family". It matches the Rfam family "mir-9229 microRNA precursor family". Lineage: Eukaryota; Metazoa; Chordata; Mammalia; Chiroptera; Vespertilionidae. The record is from Rfam by way of RNAcentral.